GGGGAAUAUUGCACAAUGGGCGCAAGCCUGAUGCAGCAACGCCGCGUGAGGGACGACGGCCUUCGGGUUGUAAACCUCUUUUAGCAGGGAAGAAGCGAAAGUGACGGUACCUGCAGAAAAAGCACCGGCUAACUACGUGCCAGCAGCCGCGGUAAUACGUAGGGUGCAAGCGUUGUCCGGAAUUAUUGGGCGUAAAGAGCUCGUAGGCGGUUUGUCGCGUCUGCUGUGAAAUCCCGAGGCUCAACCUCGGGCCUGCAGUGGGUACGGGCAGACUAGAGUGCGGUAGGGGAGAUGGGAAUUCCUGGUGUAGCGGUGGAAUGCGCAGAUAUCAGGAGGAACACCAAUGGCGAAGGCACAUCUCUGGGCCGUAACUGACGCUGAGGAGCGAAAGCAUGGGGAGCGAAC
This 405-nucleotide ribosomal RNA is filed under the name uncultured bacterium. RNAcentral describes it as "bacterial SSU rRNA". It matches the Rfam family "Bacterial small subunit ribosomal RNA", at positions 356 to 773 of the family's 1533-position model. The record is from RNAcentral.